This 176-nucleotide small RNA is filed under the name Roseovarius lutimaris. RNAcentral's name for it is "caulobacter sRNA CC2171". Lineage: Bacteria; Pseudomonadati; Pseudomonadota; Alphaproteobacteria; Rhodobacterales; Roseobacteraceae. The record is from RNAcentral.
CAACAAGCGAAAGGAGGUGGUCCAGUGUCUACAGAGGUAUUGGAGCGAGGUGUCGGAACAGUUCAGGGGAGCAUCGUCUAGGGCAGCCCCGAGGCGUAAAAGCCAACUGAAUUGGUGCGCCUAACCGGCCCACCUCCGCUAACUUCUAGAGGGCCGUUCCGGGAUCGGGGCGGCCC